UACGUAGGGUGCAAGCGUUGUCCGGAAUUAUUGGGCGUAAAGAGCUCGUAGGCGGUCCGUCACGUCGGCUGUGAAAACCCGGGGCUCAACUCCGGGCCUGCAGUCGAUACGGGCGGACUAGAGUACUGCAGGGGAGACUGGAAUUCCUGGUGUAGCGGUGAAAUGCGCAGAUAUCAGGAGGAACACCGGUGGCGAAGGCGGAUCUCUGGGCCGAUACUGACGCUGAGGAGCGAAAGCGUGGGGAGCGAACAGG
RNAcentral lists this ribosomal RNA (253 nucleotides) under uncultured bacterium. RNAcentral's name for it is "partial 16S ribosomal RNA". It matches the Rfam family "Bacterial small subunit ribosomal RNA", at positions 524 to 776 of the family's 1533-position model. The record is from RNAcentral.